This 285-nucleotide ribosomal RNA is filed under the name Nicotiana attenuata. RNAcentral describes it as "rRNA LSU_rRNA_eukarya". It matches the Rfam family "Eukaryotic large subunit ribosomal RNA", at positions 373 to 664 of the family's 3401-position model. The record is from Rfam by way of RNAcentral. Lineage: Eukaryota; Viridiplantae; Streptophyta; Magnoliopsida; Solanales; Solanaceae.
ACUUUGAAAAGAGAGUCAAAGAGUGCUUGAAAUUGUCAGGAAGGAAGCGGAUGGGGGCCGGCGAUGCGCCUCGGUCAGAUUCGGAACGUUGUUGAGCCGGUCCGCCAGUCGACUUGGGGCGUGGACCAGUGUGGAUAGGGGGGGGAUAUCCCGGGCCUUUGAUACCCGCGUGGAACGUCGUCUCCUCAAUUGUGGUAGGCAGCGCGUGCCUCUGGCGUGCUUCGGCAUCUGCGCGCUCCGGACGCUGGCCUAUGGGCUCCCCAUUCGACCCCUCUUGAAACACGG